GUUACAGUGGCCGAGUGGUUAAGGCGACACCCUGCUAAGGUGUUGGGAUUUUCCUUCGCAGGUUCGAAUCCUGUCUGUGACG
This 82-nucleotide transfer RNA is filed under the name Scheffersomyces stipitis CBS 6054. Its description in RNAcentral is "tRNA-Ser (GCT) (tRNA-Ser-GCT-1-1, tRNA-Ser-GCT-1-2)". It matches the Rfam family "tRNA". Rfam says of the family: Transfer RNA (tRNA) molecules are approximately 80 nucleotides in length. Their secondary structure includes four short double-helical elements and three loops (D, anti-codon, and T loops). The record is from RNAcentral. Lineage: Eukaryota; Fungi; Ascomycota; Pichiomycetes; Serinales; Debaryomycetaceae.